Molecule: ribosomal RNA, 293 nt
Filed under: uncultured bacterium
Lineage: Bacteria
Description: partial 16S ribosomal RNA
Rfam family: Bacterial small subunit ribosomal RNA
Source: RNAcentral
GACGAACGCUGGCGGCGUGCUUAACACAUGCAAGUCGAACGGUGAAGCCUUUCGGGGUGGAUCAGUGGCGAACGGGUGAGUAACACGUGGGCAACCUGCCCCUGACUUCGGGAUAAGCCCGGGAAACCGGGUCUAAUACCGGAUAUGAUCACGUCCCGCAUGGGGUGUGGUGGAAAGUUUUUCGGUCAGGAGUGGGCUCGCGGCCUAUCAGCUUGUUGGUGGGGUGGAUGGCCUACCAAGGCGACGACGGGAGCCGGCCUGAGAGGGCGACCGGCCACACUGGGACUGAGACA